CCCUUAGAUGUCCUGGGCCGCACGCGCGCUACACUGAACGGAUCAGCGCGUUUUCCCUUCCCGAGAGGGACGGGUAACCUGCUGAACCCCGUUCGUGGUAGGGAUCGGGGCUUGCAAUUAUUCCCCGUGAACCAGGAAUGCCCAGUAAGUGCAAGUCAUAAGCUUGCGUUGAUUACGUCCCUGCCCUUUGUACACACCGCCCGUCGCUACUACCGAUUGAACGUUUUAGUGAGGUACUCGGACUGAGCCUCAGAAGAUUCACGUCUUUUGUGCUGCUCGGGAAGAUUUCCAAACUUGAGCGUUUAGAGGAAGUAAAAGUCGUAACA
Molecule: ribosomal RNA, 326 nt
Filed under: uncultured eukaryote
Lineage: Eukaryota
Description: partial 18S ribosomal RNA
Rfam family: Eukaryotic small subunit ribosomal RNA
Source: RNAcentral